Molecule: unclassified non-coding RNA, 204 nt
Filed under: Hevea brasiliensis (rubber tree)
Lineage: Eukaryota; Viridiplantae; Streptophyta; Magnoliopsida; Malpighiales; Euphorbiaceae
Source: RNAcentral
CGAAUGGACAAGAAGCUGACUCAGGCACAACUUGCACAGCUUAUCAAUGAGAAGCCGCAAGUGAUCCAAGAGUAUGAAUCAGGAAAGGCGAUUCCAAACCAGCAGGUGAUCUCGAAACUGGAAAGGGCUCUGGGUGUGAAACUGCGAGGUAAAAAGUAGUCAUGGAAGGCCAUUGGUCAUGGGCUUCCAGCAACUGAGUCUGCG